AUGCACCUGCUGCCUUUGUUGGUCUGUUCAUCAUUGGGUGGUAACAGUGUCGGAAAACAACUCAUAUGCGUGUCCAAAAGGAGGAGCUUGUGUACAUUCUGGUGUGUAUUGAAAAUGUCUCCUAGAUUCAAACAAGAAAAGUUUGUGAAAAUGGUUCCAGGGCUUGAGGGAACUGAUGAGGAUUUAUGUGAUCUUGUUCAUGAUUUACCAAGCCCGGUAUCAAUGGGAAAUGGUAAUGUGCAUUUUUUUGUCAAUUUGGUCCCUCCACUAUUGAUUAAGCUUUGUUUUAUCCCCAGUUUUCAAAACAAAUAA
RNAcentral lists this ribosomal RNA (312 nucleotides) under Triticum aestivum (bread wheat). RNAcentral's name for it is "partial small subunit ribosomal RNA". The record is from RNAcentral. Lineage: Eukaryota; Viridiplantae; Streptophyta; Magnoliopsida; Poales; Poaceae.